RNAcentral lists this transfer RNA (78 nucleotides) under Streptomyces violaceusniger. RNAcentral describes it as "tRNA-Ser". The record is from RNAcentral. Lineage: Bacteria; Bacillati; Actinomycetota; Actinomycetes; Kitasatosporales; Streptomycetaceae.
GCGGUCCUUGGCAUGGAGGUGCCGAUGCGGGCGGUGUUCGAGGCGCCGACCGUGGCCGGUCUCCUUGCCCGGAUCGCG